This 3297-nucleotide unclassified non-coding RNA is filed under the name Hevea brasiliensis (rubber tree). The record is from RNAcentral. Lineage: Eukaryota; Viridiplantae; Streptophyta; Magnoliopsida; Malpighiales; Euphorbiaceae.
CAGUAUUGGAAGCCAAGUUUACAGAAGUAAGCUUGCCAUCUGAGAACAUGAUGCGGCGAUGGAUGUAUGCCCCUUGCAAGAAAUCAAAACUUUCACCAUCGUCAAUGUAAAGUUCUCCUUCAGCUGAUUGAGAACUGUUUAGAGCUAUCACCUAUGGACAAGUUAAAAUCAGUGGCUGUUCAUGCUAAGAACCAAAAAAAGGUCUAAUAUAUAGAGAUAUCUGAAUUCAAAGAAGUUGCAGCAAUUACAUGGUUAAAUGCAUUUUGAUAUUUAAAGAUAGGGAUAAACUUUGAUGCAAGUUUAUCUAUGCCUGAGUAUGAAACCUAUGUUAACCAAAGGGAAUAGAACAAGAUGAUAACUGUUUCACCACCUGAUCUCUAACCCAUAAACCCCCACCUUGCUUUCUAUUCCAAGAACACCAUCUCUUGAGUUACCUCUACAAUCGAAAACUACCCCAUUAUUCUUUUUUCAGGUUUCAUUUUAAUGAAAUUUAACUAUGCAAACCCCAAAUUAUAAUAUAACCAGUAAUAAAUUAUAAUAUGACCAGUAAUUAUAGAGCUAUGAUAAGCAGAUUCAUGAGACAUGAGGUUACAAAAAUAAGAAUUUUAAACAUGCUAUGGCGUUGUCAAGUAAUUGAUGAUACCUCCAAGAAUGGAACUUCUUGUUGGGGCAAGACUUUUUGUGUAUAUAUAUAUGAGUGCCCCAAUCAGUGUUGUAUAUGCAGUUGAAACAAAUAUGCGCCUAAAAGUAUCAGUUGUCAAUUACAUACCAGACUGUAAGGAUCAUUCACCAUCUGUGUGGAGCUUCGACGAUACCGGUCCUUUCUUGGUAUGAUAGUUCCAGCCCUUUGGAAAGCAGGAACACUCUCCUCUGAAACCUCCAGCUUGUGGGUUCUACCUCCCUUAAAUGCAGCUCCUGUUCUGAGGUCAUACCAAGAUUCUUUCCCAGGCAAGUAGACAGAAGCAUGUUUAGCUCGCUCAGUGUAAAUCCCUUGCACCAAAAGACUGCCUCCAACCAUGAAAGCUUCAUCAUUGCUGAAAGUAGCUUCAUCAGAAGGGAACUCCAUCCACAAAGGCCGCAUGACAGGAAUACCACUAAAGUUUGCUUCUCUGAAUAAUGUGUAGAAAUAUGGGAGCAACAUGUAACGAACAUGUAUGGCUUCUCUGAUAAGCUCUGUAUUUCGCUCCCCAAAUAGCCAAGGUUCUCUUCUCUUAGUGUCAAGAUGAGCAUGAGCUCGAAAGAAAGGAUAGUAAGCACCAAGCUGAUACCAGCGAACGAGUAACUCGGGCUCUGGAUUCCCAAAGAAGCCACCAACAUCCGCGCCAGAGAAUGACAUUCCAGUGAGACCUAGAGUCAGAAUCAUUGGAACUGAAACCCUUAAUUGAUCCCAAUCUGCUGUGUUGUCUCCAGUCCAAACAGCUCCAUACCUUUGACUUCCAGCAUAAAAUGCUCUUGACAAAACGAAGGGCCUGCUCUUCCCAUCUCCGCGCUUUAAAAGCCCAUCAGAUGUUGCCAUGUGGAAGAAGUAGCCGUAGGAAUUAUGCAACUCCCUGUGCUCUAUGCCCCCAUAAUGCAAAAUAUCUCUAGGCAUUGUUACCUCUGGGCCAUUGAACACUGAAGGCUCAUUCAUAUCGUUCCAAAUAUACAAUGUAGGGGUUGAACCCACAUACUCCUUGUAUGAGAACUUGUCACCCCACCAUGAUCUGAUCUCUGGAUUCAACAUGUCCAAGUAGGAAGAUGAACCGGGCCAGCACCAUCCCUCAUAAUCAUUCCCACUUGCAUCCUUCACAUAGUAACCCUUCUCUGUAGCCUGUUUAUGCAGCCGAAACGACUCAUCCCGCUUAACAUGAGGGUCCACAAUAGUAACCAUGUGCCUUCCCUUGACUGCCAAUUUCUUCUGCAUAUCCUCUGGAUGUGGAAACAAAACAGGAUCCCAUGUGAAGUACCUUUUACCAUCUGUGUGCUCAAUAUCAAGCCACAAAACAUCAUAAGGAAUAUCAUGCUCAUCAAAUUUGGAAUCCACAUUCUCAACAUCCUCCUCAUCCCUGUAAUUCCACCUACAUUGAUGAUAAGCAGUUGCAAAUAAUUGUGGCAUUGAAGGUUUUCCAGUGACACUCGUGUAUUGGCUGACAACAUCCUUGGGGCCUGGACCCAGAAAGAAGAAGGCAUCCACAAUCCCAGCCUCACUCAUCCAAAAGGUAUCAAUUCUUUUCUGCCCUGAAGGCAGCGAAAUCCCAGACUCUGCGUCCCAUCCAUCUCCUAAAACAUCAAUCUGCAUUUCGGCUGCAUUCAACCAGAAAAAUCCAGAGCUUUUUCCGGUUUUGCCAUGCGCAAUCAUGAAAGGGAUAGACCCAUAGAGGCCAAAGGGCGAGUCAUGCAAGUACUCAAAAACAUCCAAAUUAAACAAUCUGUAAGGCUCAGAAUAGUCGACUCCAGGACCUCUGGUAGGCCUCAAGGCGAGACUCGUGGCGUGCUCCGGUAUCCCUGACACGAAAUCAGCACCGUAAAAGGACACAUCAAAACUAAUGGAUUGGGGACCGUAGGGCCUCGUGUCUGUAUGACCCCUAAACCUCUCCUCCCAAUCAUCCCCUUCCUUUUUAGGCCUCAAUUGCUCCAAAUCGAACAACUGAUGAGAAUUCAAGGAAACCACACGGCGAUCAUUAGAUUUUUUCUCGCGGACAUAAACCUCGAAUGGAUCAUGACGAAGGACAGCCUCAUACUCGUCCGAUAAGUAAACGACGGAGGAGGGACCAGCGUCCCCGUCGAUCGUUUCUGUUGAAACCCUCUGGAGCCAUAGCUUCUUGUUCUCGAAAUCCGGGAUGAUUACGUCAGGGACUUGGAAGCGUCUUUUCGGAGGCUCCAGAGAGAGAUCCUCAUCGAUUUUGAGACGCAUGAUGCCAUCUUGAUAGAUCGAGAGAGUAAGGAUCAAAGGCUUGAUUUGAUCUUCUAGACCUUGAUCUAAUUCUGGUAGGGUUUUGGGGAGAAGCUUGGCGGUGAGGUGACCGUCGGAGAUGGCUACGUCAUGGGCGAUUAGUGAACACGCACCAGGCUUCCUGGAGCGGGCGCGUUUGCAGAAGGGGGUUUGGUUGCAAUUUCGAAACUCGUCUUUUUUCCAGGAAAGUACUGUUUGCGAGGCGAGAAAAAGUACCAGAAGAAGAUGAAGAAGAAAACAAAGAAUUCUCAUCUGGGACUUCAUUUCAAUGGGCAAGGAUCAUAGUUAAGAGAAAAGCCCUAGAAAUGGAUCAUUUUGCUGUUAACUACUUAACACUGGCUUCAUUGACCAGUGACCAGCCGGAG